Molecule: ribosomal RNA, 402 nt
Filed under: bacterium
Lineage: Bacteria
Description: partial 16S ribosomal RNA
Rfam family: Bacterial small subunit ribosomal RNA
Source: RNAcentral
UGGGGAAUUUUGCACAAUGGGGGAAACCCUGAUGCAGCGACGCCGCGUGAUUUAGAAGGCCUUCGGGUUGUAAAAAUCUUUUCUAUGGGAAGAAAAUGACAGUACCAUAGGAAUAAGGACCGGCUAAUUACGUGCCAGCAGCCGCGGUAAUACGUAAGGACCGAACGUUGUCCGGAAUCAUUGGGCGUAAAGGGUACGUAGGCGGGUAAGCAAGUUAGAAGUGAAAUCCUAUAGCUCAACUAUAGUAAGCUUUUAAAACUGCUCAUCUUGAGGUAUGGAAGGGAAAGUGGAAUUCCUAGUGUAGCGGUGAAAUGCGCAGAUAUUAGGAGGAAUACCGGUGGCGAAGGCGACUUUCUGGCCAUAACCUGACGCUGAGGUACGAAAGCGUGGGUAGCAAACAGG